Synchiropus splendidus (mandarinfish) is the source of this 2907-nucleotide long non-coding RNA. RefSeq lists it as uncharacterized. The record is from RefSeq and is a predicted model, not a curated record. Lineage: Eukaryota; Metazoa; Chordata; Actinopteri; Syngnathiformes; Callionymidae. The transcript is spliced from 6 exons.
GUUAUUUUGAUAGUUUUUGAUGAAAAGAAUGCGUAAAAUAAUCGAGGCGAGAAAAUAAUGAGAAGUACGCCUUUUCUGCGCAUGCUCACUCCACGAACAAGCUCGGAACCAUUUUACUGACCGCGGAUGCACACGGAAGGUGAAUAAUGGUGCACUUUUUGAAAAGCUCCAGCAAAGUCGGUGAGCGAGGAACUUCUAAACAUGAGAAGUGGAGACCGUCUGUCCGAUGUGUAUAUUCCUGACUGGUUGGGUUCCUUUUAUCAACACAGAGGCAGCAGAACCAAGAACUACAUGCUGAGCAACCUUUGGCCAGAAGAGGGAGCUGUUGUCAUUGGACCCACAUGCAUCAUCUCCCUGAUCUGGCUUCCAUCGUGGAGGAGAGUUGGACGACAGGCUGACAGGCAGGCAGACAGACAGCUGCUCAGGCUGCACAGACACGCCCCCUGCUUUACACGUCGGAAACGGACCUCCGGCUCCCAUAGGGCCUACUUGGCGUUGGCAGAGCUGCACAGGACCUUGCGCACCGCCUGGGCGAUGGAGUCGCGGUCGAUGCCGAAGAGCUGCAUGAGCUCGUGAGGCUUUCCGCUGCGAGGGACCUGAGACACAGCCAGGCGGUGGACCGUGAAGCCCGUCUCGUUGACCACCGCCGAGCACACGGCCUCGCCGAGACCACCUGCAGCACACGGGUCAAAGCCAGCUCCACUGCCUUCUCCGCGGAGACCCCAUCGCUGGGGUAGAAGAUGGUGGCCGUGGGAAUGGCCCUGAACAUGGCCAGGUCCUCCAGACCCAUCUGAGAUGGACCGUCCUCCCCUGAAGACAGAAGCGACGGUCAGCAGGAAGAACUACACGUGGCACUAGCGUGUAAACACAGGUGGUGCUGGAUGAGUUCCGACUGACCGAUGGAGACGCCGCAGUGUGAGCCGCAGAGGUUGAUGUUGCUCUCAGAGAUGGCCGCCAUGCGCAGCUGGUCGAAGGCGCGGGAGAAGAAUGUGGCGAAGGUGCUGGCAAACACCACAUUACGGUCGCGCGCCGCACAUCCCAUCGCCACGCUCACCUGUGGAGGACAUGUGUCAGGACAUUGACCCGCAUGUCUAAAUCCAAACUAUAAGGUCACAUCAGUGAAGGAGUCGAGCGACGGAAUGACUUUCCUACCAUGUUCUGCUCGGCGAUGUAACACUCCACGUAGCGGUUCGGGUGCUCAUUCUUGAAGAGCUCGGAGAAGGUGGAGUUCUUGGUGUCUCCGUCCAGAACCACCACAUGCUCAUUGUAACGCCCCAGUUUGGCCAGAGCCAUGCCGUACGCCUUCCUGGUCGCAAUCUGACCCCCCCCAAAAAAAAGAAAUCAGAAACCAACAGGUGAACACAUGAAUCCUCCCACUGACCUUCUCUCCUGGUUUGUAGCUCGGGGCGCUGGGCAUGCGCAAGUUCCUGAGACUGACGGGGGAAGUGUCGUCCUCUGGCGGCGCCGGGAACAGACGCUUGUUGCAGCUGAUGAUGCGGCUCUGCAACUCCUUCAUCACACUCUCAGCCAUGUCUUUAGGCAGAGGUUUGCCGUGCCAGCCCAUCUUAUCCUCGGCAGCUGGAAGAUCCAGAUCAUCGAUGAGCAUCAACAUCGGAGAGUUUAAAACCUCCUGUGUUAUUUAGAAAUUGCUCCUGCUUGUUUAUAGCUAAACCAUUAUUCACACAGCCUCAUGUGAAGAUGGGAUUAAAAAUACAGCCAGUGUUGUCGCAUCAUAGAACCUGUCUCAGCAUAAUAAUAAGCAGGUUUAUGAAAGCAAAUGUCGUAUCGGCUGCCCUCCUCCCACCUCAGGCGACUUACAAGGUCAAAGGUUAAACCCAGCAUUACUUUGUCUUACAUCAGCACUUCUCAUGAAAAGAUGGCAUGUGAUUUAAGGUGCAGACGUUCUGCUGCACAUCUGUCUGUGCGUUGACUUUUCUGUAGGUCCCUUUGUUCCCCAUCACUUGUGCUUUUCCCAAACCAACAGAGCACGAAGGGCCGCCGUCCCGUUUGUCCUCCGACAUUCUGUGGGAUUACAGGACUAAAGCACUAAAGCGUCCAUGGGAUUACAGGGAGUUAAGGGCUCACUAAGUGGACAGCGGUUAUUCUUAAGAAAACCAACUGUAAUUCCAUAUUUUGCCGCGUCAGCAGCUUGAGGAGACGGGUUCGAGGGCUGAGCCACUCAACAUGCCCGGACUGAAUGCCUUACCUGCAAUCCCUUUGCCCUUGAUGGUUUUUGUGAUGAUGGCGAGCGGCUGGUGGCAUGGCUGACUCAGCACUUUACACAGCUCCUCCACACUGUGGCCGUCCACGAUGACCGCGUGCCACCUGCAACACCAGCGACGUCCAGUCCGAUUCGCUCGGGUUUGCAGUGGAAGAAGACCUUUAAAGUCACUCACCCAAACGCCUCGCAGCGACGCUGGUACUUCUCCACAUGGUGCUGGAGAGGAGCUGGGUCACUCUGACCCAAACGGUUGAUGUCCAAGAUGGCCACCAGGUUAUCCAGCUGGUAGUAGGAGGCGAAGGCCAUGGCCUCCCAAACCGAGCCCUCUGACAUCUCGCCAUCACCCAUCAGGCAGAAGACCCUGUAGCUGUUGGCAGUGAAGCAGUGAAGAUAUCCAUCAGCACUCCGUUGGAUUCCUUCGACCAAGGUGGAAGUGACAGCUGACCCUUGCGCCCGAACAGACCCCUACCGCUACACCCCCCUCCCACCACUGUGCUCUGAUCUUCCCGACUAGUUGCUACUGCGGCGUAACGACUCCUGACAGCUUUCCAGUCAAAUAGACACGUUCCCAUUAAAGCUGGAGGAUGAGGCGAGACACGACACAUUACGCCACGCAUUCCAACCACCAAGGCUGAGAUAAACAAAGCAGGCGACAAAGAAAAUAAAGGAACAAAGGAAAAGAACAA